CUUAUCGGUCUCUCUCCUCCUCUCACUAAAUCAGCCCCUUUCUUCCCCAAAUCACAAAUUAGAGAAAUUCUCCCCCAAAUCGGAGUUUCCGUCGACCAGCCGAUCCGCCGAAGCCACCGCCGCCUCCGUCGGUGUUCCCUCCUCCUUGUCGUCUUUCUCUUCUCUCCCUCUUUUCUCUCUUUCCCCUCUCUCUUCCUCUACAGAUCUCCGUCUCCCCCCACUCCGCUGCCGUCGACCUCAGGCCCGCCGUCACGCCACCACCGCCUCGAAUCAGCCCCAGCCGCCGACGCCGACCCCCUUCCCGAUUUGUCGGGGCUGAGAGCAUAGCGGCUCGCCGCAGCGGCCUCCCUCUUCCCCCCCUCUCUCGGUUUUCCCCCUUUUACCGCCGGCAUGCACCACCUCCGCCACCGACGCCGUUUUCCGACAGGUUUUAAAGAAUGAAACAGUGACGAAUUUUUAGAGCGUGGGCUGUCACCGUCGGCACUCCGACGGAGUGCCGAGCUUGCUGCCUGAAGUCCCUCCGGCAGAUUCAUAUUUUAGUCUAAGAUAAGCCUCUGUUCUUUUUGCUAGGAAGUGCUAUUUCUAUAUUCCUUGCUACAAGUUGCUAUUUCUAUGUUCUUUGCUGUAGUUAUUAAGUUGUACUAUUUGGCAGAGACUAAAUCUUGCCUAGAAGCAUACGUUGGAUGCAUGUUUGUAAUUUGGGCAGGGCUAUGUUUUGCUUAUAUCUAGUGUUGCAAUAUGUGGGAGAAAGAAGUAAGAUGUUGUUGUACUCACCUUUGUAAAAGUGAAAAAGACUUAUUAGAUGUGAAAUAGAUUUGUUGGAUCUCCCUUUGUGAGGGGACGUCCUCUUCCUUUC
Long non-coding RNA from Salvia hispanica, 856 nucleotides. RefSeq lists it as uncharacterized. Lineage: Eukaryota; Viridiplantae; Streptophyta; Magnoliopsida; Lamiales; Lamiaceae. The record is from RefSeq and is a predicted model, not a curated record.